Molecule: microRNA precursor, 129 nt
Filed under: Marmota monax (woodchuck)
Lineage: Eukaryota; Metazoa; Chordata; Mammalia; Rodentia; Sciuridae
Source: RNAcentral
AUAGGAAUCAACUUGGAACUUGGUGAAAUGUAGAUUCUGAUUCAUUAGGUCUGAGGGACCUGAGAUAGUCUAUUCAUUAGGGACCUGUGAUAGUCUACAAUUCCAGUAAGUUCUCAGAUUGAUACUAAU